AUUGCCAGUUCGAGCGAAUGGAUUUAAGAAGCUUGCUUCCUUUAUGAAGUUUAGCGGCGGACGGGUGAGUUAACACGUGGGUAACCUGCCCAUAAGACUGGGAUAACUCCGGGAAACCGGGGCUAAUACCGGAUAACAUUUUGAACCGCAGGUUCGAAAUUGAAAGGCGGCUUCGGCUGUCACUUAUGGAUGGACCCGCGUCGCAUUAGCUAGUUGGUGAGGUAACGGCUCACCAAGGCAACGAUGCGUAGCCGACCUGAGAGGGUGAUCGGCCACACUGGGACUGAGACACGGCCCAGACUCCUACGGGAGGCAGCAGUAGGGAAUCUUCCGCAAUGGACGAAAGUCUGACGGAGCAACGCCGCGUGAGUGAUGAAGGCUUUCGGGUCGUAAAACUCUGUUGUUAGGGAAGAACAAGUGCUAGUUGAAUAAGCUGGCACCUUGACGGUACCUAACCAGAAAGCCACGGCUAACUACGUGCCAGCAGCCC
RNAcentral lists this ribosomal RNA (490 nucleotides) under Bacillus cereus. RNAcentral describes it as "bacterial SSU rRNA". It matches the Rfam family "Bacterial small subunit ribosomal RNA", at positions 54 to 517 of the family's 1533-position model. The record is from RNAcentral. RNAcentral also lists the same sequence under 1 other name. Lineage: Bacteria; Bacillati; Bacillota; Bacilli; Caryophanales; Bacillaceae.